Long non-coding RNA from Rosa chinensis, 180 nucleotides. RefSeq lists it as uncharacterized. The record is from RefSeq and is a predicted model, not a curated record. The transcript has 3 exons. Lineage: Eukaryota; Viridiplantae; Streptophyta; Magnoliopsida; Rosales; Rosaceae.
CUUCGCUUAUUUCAUUCAGCUUUAUUCAGAAUCUUGGAUGGUUUGUGAAGUUGCUUUCAUACAAUGGAGGCUUGGAACUACAUCAAAAUAUGAUGGGAGAUUCUGUUCCUCUUUUAUGAUGAUUUUGACUCGGAGAGGCUGAAAGAAGUUAUUGAACAGAUCACGAGCUGUAGCUUCUUG